UACCAUUUGCCUACAUGCAUUUGGCAAUGUGGGGUGUGGUUCGUUUGAUAGUAGUGUUGUGUCUUGCGGACGUGAGUGCGUGUGAGUGGUGAUCGGGAUGGCUGUGUUGUUUGGCUCCUUCCUCAUGGGUUUNGGAACUUUCAGCAGGCUAUAACCCUUUUCAUGCAUACAUCGUGCUGGGGGGCCUCGGUGUUCAAUGGUGGUUCCUGUGUUGCCUACCCAUUUAUUGGUAUUCGUGUGCCGCGAAGACCCGUUAUUCACACACCCCCUUGUGGCGGUUGAUGGGGGAUAUCUAAUUUGAUGCGUGUUUUGUNUUAGUCGUGCGUUGUAUCGGCUCAUGUGCCCACGCGUGUAUAUUGUUCCCUUGGAUGCGGUGCAUGUGGUGAAUGUGGGCUGGUGUUUAUGCCUCGUUUCGUUGCUGUGAUAUAACAGUUGCCUUUGAAAGACACUUUGCCGUAGUGCCAGCCUUGCUAUCCCAUUGGUGGUUGCAAUACUUGCAUGUCGU
Molecule: unclassified non-coding RNA, 505 nt
Filed under: Crotalaria stipularia
Lineage: Eukaryota; Viridiplantae; Streptophyta; Magnoliopsida; Fabales; Fabaceae
Description: partial external transcribed spacer
Source: RNAcentral